AUGCAUGGUCUGCAGCUGCAGCUCCUCCAAGUUGCGCUUCACUUUGCAAAAGGACCGCGAUCUCGUCUGCUGCGUCAAGGAUCUUGGGCAUGUGGUUUCCCCCACGGGCGGCAGGCAUGUUGUUUUCCCCGUGAGAAGCGACCUCAACGUCUGCGGCAUCGGCGGUUGGGGAGGCGCACCCCUCCUCGUCAUUCUCCAUCGAAAGCCCUCCAUUCUUCUCUAUGUGGUGCAGACCAACAGCCGUCCAGUGGGGAGAAGACAUGGUGUCACCGAUAG
RNAcentral lists this ribosomal RNA (276 nucleotides) under Triticum aestivum (bread wheat). RNAcentral describes it as "partial small subunit ribosomal RNA". Lineage: Eukaryota; Viridiplantae; Streptophyta; Magnoliopsida; Poales; Poaceae. The record is from RNAcentral.